GACGAACGCUGGCGGCGUGCUUAACACAUGCAAGUCGAACGGACAGGCCCUGCUUUUGUGGGGUGCUCGAGUGGCGAACGGGUGAGUAACACGUGAGUAACCUGCCCUUGACUUUGGGAUAACUUCAGGAAACUGGGGCUAAUACCGGAUAGGAGCUCCUGCUGCAUGGUGGGGGUUGGAAAGUUUCGGCGGUUGGGGAUGGACUCGCGGCUUAUCAGCUUGUUGGUGGGGUAGUGGCUUACCAAGGCUUUGACGGGUAGCCGGCCUGAGAGGGUGACCGGCCACAUGGGGACUGAGAUACGGCCCAGACGCCUACGGGAGGCAGCAGUGGGGAAUAUUGCACAAUGGGCGGAAGCCUGAUGCAGCAACGCCGCGUGCGGGAUGACGGCCUUCGGGUUGUAAACCGCUUUCGCCUGUGACGAAGCGUGAGUGACGGUAAUGGGUAAAGAAGCACCGGCUAACUACGUG
Molecule: ribosomal RNA, 468 nt
Filed under: uncultured bacterium
Lineage: Bacteria
Description: partial 16S ribosomal RNA
Rfam family: Bacterial small subunit ribosomal RNA
Source: RNAcentral